This 253-nucleotide ribosomal RNA is filed under the name uncultured bacterium. RNAcentral's name for it is "partial 16S ribosomal RNA". It matches the Rfam family "Bacterial small subunit ribosomal RNA", at positions 524 to 776 of the family's 1533-position model. The record is from RNAcentral.
UACAGAGGUCCCAAGCGUUGUUCGGAUUCACUGGGCGUAAAGGGUGCGUAGGCGGUCAGGUAAGUCUGAUGUGAAAUCUCGGGGCUUAACCCCGAAACUGCAUUGGAUACUAUUUGGCUUGAGGAAUGGAGGGGAGACUGGAAUGCUCGGUGUAGCAGUGAAAUGCGUAGAUAUCGAGCGGAACACCAGUGGCGAAGGCGAGUCUCUGGACAUUUCCUGACGCUGAGGCACGAAAGCCAGGGGAGCAAACGGG